RNAcentral lists this ribosomal RNA (513 nucleotides) under uncultured bacterium. RNAcentral describes it as "bacterial SSU rRNA". It matches the Rfam family "Bacterial small subunit ribosomal RNA", at positions 8 to 518 of the family's 1533-position model. The record is from RNAcentral.
AGAGUUGAUCCUGGCUUAGGAUGAACGCUGGCGGCGUGCCUAAUACAUGCAAGUCGAGCGAGAAAUCUUCAGACGAUUCUUCGGAUGAGUCAGAGAGAUGGAAAGCGGCGGACGGGUGAGUAACGCGUAGGCAACCUGCCCUCAGCAGAGGGAUAGCCAUUGGAAACGGUGAUUAAAACCUCAUAAUGCUGUUUUAACACAUGUUGAGACAGCCAAAGAUUUAUCGGCUGGGGAUGGGCCUGCGUCUGAUUAACUGGUUGGUGAGGUAACGGCUCACCAAGGUGACGAUCAGUAGCCGACCUGAGAGGGUGAUCGGCCACAUUGGAACUGAGACACGGUCCAAACUUCUACGGAAGGCAGCAGUAAGGAAUCUUGCACAAUGGGGGAAACCCUGAAUGCAGCAACGCCGCGUGAACGAUGAAGGCCUUAGGGUUGUAAAGUUCUGAUCUGUGGGAAGAAGGAAGUGACGGUACCACAGGAGAAAGCCCCGGCUAAAUACGUGCCAGCCGCGGC